This 429-nucleotide ribosomal RNA is filed under the name Pseudomonadota bacterium. RNAcentral describes it as "Proteobacteria bacterium partial 16S ribosomal RNA". It matches the Rfam family "Bacterial small subunit ribosomal RNA", at positions 355 to 776 of the family's 1533-position model. The record is from RNAcentral. Lineage: Bacteria; Pseudomonadati; Pseudomonadota.
UGGGGAAUAUUGGACAAUGGGCGAAAGCCUGAUCCAGCCAUGCCGCGUGUGUGAAGAAGGUCUUCGGAUUGUAAAGCACUUUAAGUUGGGAGGAAGGGCAGUAAGCGAAUACCUUGCUGUUUUGACGUUACCGACAGAAUAAGCACCGGCUAACUCUGUGCCAGCAGCCGCGGUAAUACAGAGGGUGCAAGCGUUAAUCGGAAUUACUGGGCGUAAAGCGCGCGUAGGUGGUUCGUUAAGUUGAAUGUGAAAGCCCCGGGCUCAACCUGGGAACUGCAUCCAAAACUGGCGAGCUAGAGUAGGGCAGAGGGUCGUAGAAUUUCCUGUGUAGCGGUGAAAUGCGGAGAUAUAGGAAGGAACACCAGUGGCGAAGGCGACCACCUGGGCUCAUACUGACACUGAGGUGCGAAAGCGUGGGGAGCAAACAGG